RNAcentral lists this ribosomal RNA (681 nucleotides) under uncultured Bacteroidota bacterium. Its description in RNAcentral is "bacterial SSU rRNA". It matches the Rfam family "Bacterial small subunit ribosomal RNA", at positions 66 to 751 of the family's 1533-position model. The record is from RNAcentral. Lineage: Bacteria; Pseudomonadati; Bacteroidota.
GGGUAGUAUAGCAAUAUAUGAGACCGGCGCACGGGUGCGUAACGCGUAUGCAACCUACCUUUUACAGGGGAAUAGCCCAGAGAAAUUCGGAUUAAUGCCCCAUAGUAUAAUUGAAUGGCAUCAUUUGAUUAUUAAAGUUCCAACGGUAAAAGAUGGGCAUGCGUCCUAUUAGCUAGAUGGUAAGGUAACGGCUUACCAUGGCUACGAUAGGUAGGGGUCCUGAGAGGGAGAUCCCCCACACUGGUACUGAGACACGGACCAGACUCCUACGGGAGGCAGCAGUGAGGAAUAUUGGACAAUGGGCGCAAGCCUGAUCCAGCCAUGCCGCGUGCAGGAAGACGCAUCUAUGGUGUGUAAACUGCUUUUGUACGGGAAGAAACACUCCCUCGUGAGGGAGCUUGACGGUACCGUAAGAAUACGGAUCGGCUAACUCCGUGCCAGCAGCCGCGGUAAUACGGAGGAUCCAAGCGUUAUCCGGAAUCAUUGGGUUUAAAGGGUCCGUAGGCGGUUUAAUAAGUCAGUGGUGAAAGCCCAUCGCUCAACGAUGGAACGGCCAUUGAUACUGUUAGACUUGAAUUACAAGGAAGUAACUAGAAUAUGUAGUGUAGCGGUGAAAUGCUUAGAUAUUACAUGGAAUACCAAUUGCGAAGGCAGGUUACUACUUGUGGAUUGACGCUGAUG